GAAAUGCGAUAAGUAAUGUGAAUUGCAGAAUUCAGUGAAUCAUCGAAUCUUUGAACGCACAUUGCGCCCCUUGGUAUUCCGAGGGGCAUGCCUAUUCGAGCGUCAUUAUCACCCCUCAAGCUCCGGCUUGGUGUUGAGGCCUGCUGUCAAGGCACCCUCUAAAAUCAGUGGCAGUGCCGUCAGGCUCUAAGCGUAGUAAACACCUCGCUAUAGACUCUUGCGGUCCCUCGCCAGAACCCCCCAUUUUUUAAUGAUUGACCUCGGAUUAGGUAGGGAUACCCGCUGAACUUAA
Molecule: unclassified non-coding RNA, 292 nt
Filed under: uncultured Ascomycota
Lineage: Eukaryota; Fungi; Ascomycota
Description: sequence contains ITS1
Rfam family: 5.8S ribosomal RNA (bases 1-105)
Source: RNAcentral